GGGUUGUGAGGUUAAGCGACUAAGCGUACACGGUGGAUGCCCUGGCAGUCAGAGGCGAUGAAGGGCGUGCUAAUCUGCGAUAAGCGCCGGUAAGGUGAUAUGAACCGUUAUAACCGGCGAUACCCGAAUGGGGAAACCCAGUGUGACUCGUCACACUAUCAUUAACUGAAUCCAUAGGUUAAUGAGGCGAACCGGGGGAACUGAAACAUCUAAGUACCCCGAGGAAAAGAAAUCAACCGAGAUUCCCCCAGUAGCGGCGAGCGAACGGGGAGGAGCCCAGAGCCUGAAUCAGCAUGUGUGUUAGUGGAAGCGUCUGGAAAGGCGCGCGAUACAGGGUGACAGCCCCGUACACAAAAGCGCAUGUGCUGUGAGCUCGAUGAGUAGGGCGGGACACGUGGUAUCCUGUCUGAAUAUGGGGGGACCAUCCUCCAAGGCUAAAUACUCCUGACUGACCGAUAGUGAACCAGUACCGUGAGGGAAAGGCGAAAAGAACCCCGGCGAGGGGAGUGAAAAAGAACCUGAAACCGUGUACGUACAAGCAGUGGGAGCACCCUUUGGGUGUGACUGCGUACCUUUUGUAUAAUGGGUCAGCGACUUAUAUUCUGUAGCAAGG
RNAcentral lists this ribosomal RNA (613 nucleotides) under Salmonella enterica subsp. enterica serovar Enteritidis. Its description in RNAcentral is "partial 23S ribosomal RNA". It matches the Rfam family "Bacterial large subunit ribosomal RNA", at positions 1 to 645 of the family's 2925-position model. Lineage: Bacteria; Pseudomonadati; Pseudomonadota; Gammaproteobacteria; Enterobacterales; Enterobacteriaceae. The record is from RNAcentral.